UUGGGUUGGCCAAAAAGUUUGUGUGGGUUUUUCUAUAAGAUGUUAUGGAAUAGCCCAGAUACACUUUUGGGCCAACCCAAU
This 81-nucleotide microRNA precursor is filed under the name Ovis aries (sheep). RNAcentral's name for it is "miRNA (ENSOARG00000024427.1)". Lineage: Eukaryota; Metazoa; Chordata; Mammalia; Artiodactyla; Bovidae. The record is from RNAcentral.